GCUUGUUAACUACUCUUUAACAGACUUUAUAAUAAAUAGGCUUGUCCAUUAGUUAUAAUGAGCGUUGAGGAAGGGCGUUGGCCACACUGUCAGGCUUUCUGAAAUUAUGAAAGGAAAAAGAAAAGGUGGGAGGGCAAACCUCUGAACUGCUGGAGCUGUGAAAUAGUCCUGACCUGACCCACAGGCACAAAAUAAUCCCUCAACAGAAGAGAGCAGUUGUGCACCCAGUACAGUAUUUUGCCUGAUUGACAAGCACAUUGAUACCUUUUCCUCCUCCAGGAAGAACCAUUGUCUUGGAGACCUGCCGGGAAUCAUGGGCUGGAGAAGACAUUACCCAUCCUUAUGUAGUGAUCAUUUGCUGACCUUAUGUAUCGAAUUGCACCAGGAAGAAAUUACCUUUCUUAAACCUAGAGAAGAUAGGUAGAACCUGUGAAGCAGCCUGUAGUGCACAGAGGCACUGCAGUCAAACAUCCUAGACAACCUUUCUGCUUGAUCAAAUUUUGAAGCAUAAAGCUUGGAACCAGCUCCCAAGAAAAACAACUGACAGACUUGAGUGCGGUAUUUAUCUUGGCCUUGGUCAAGAAAAGAAAGAAAAAAGGCUGGAUGACACCUGCUUUUACACAGAAUUUGACUGCUUUCUCUGGGAUGGUAAGUGAUGCUGAAUGCAUGCACAGAUCUCUCCCAAACUAAGAGCAAAAUUUCUCUCUUAUUUUCUGUAUCACUUUAUAAAAAAUCUUUAAUCAUUUUUAAUAACCUGUUGUAACAACAGGUAUAACAGGUUAUUAAACAGGUAUUUUAUAUCACAGUUUCAGCCUACUAAAUUAUCUGACUUCACUGACAUAAACAGAAGGUAAAACUAUUUCUAUUAUUCUGCAUGG
This 878-nucleotide long non-coding RNA is filed under the name Anas platyrhynchos platyrhynchos (common mallard). RNAcentral describes it as "lncRNA (ENSAPLG00000021491.1)". Lineage: Eukaryota; Metazoa; Chordata; Aves; Anseriformes; Anatidae. The record is from RNAcentral.